UGUUUUCUUCUCUCCUCGUCUCACCCCUCCUCUCAACCCUUGUUUUCUACAUCAGACGUUGUAUUGAAACAUCUUCUCGAUCUGAUUUCCGUUCCUCGCAAGCAUCAUUGACAAAAGCUCUGCCCAAUCUAAUCGUGGUGCUUAGGGAUGGAACAAUCGUCCAACGAAUCAGAGAACAUUAUUCUCACUAAUGAUCAAGGUGAAAUGAAAGGGUGCGACCAUGACUGCCUCGCCUGCCAAGGUGGUUACUAUGGCACUUGCUCAGCACCCAGUUGUGAAUGCCAGCUGCAGAUAUGGAAAGAGCUUUCACUACAACAGUAGCAUAAACAUCGCCAUUGCUGUGGCUAUUGAUGAUGGGCUAAUAACCCAUAUUCUUCAGGAUGCAGAUAAGUUGGAUUUGUAUUUGUUAUCUCAGAAGUGGAAAGAGCUGAUGGAGAAGGCUCGCUCAAAGCAACUUCAGCCCCAUGAGUACAACUCAAGUCUUCAUCAUUGAAACUCUG
This is a long non-coding RNA of Rosa rugosa (rugosa rose), 500 nucleotides long. RefSeq lists it as uncharacterized. Lineage: Eukaryota; Viridiplantae; Streptophyta; Magnoliopsida; Rosales; Rosaceae. The transcript has 4 exons. The record is from RefSeq and is a predicted model, not a curated record.